Molecule: unclassified non-coding RNA, 351 nt
Filed under: soil metagenome
Description: partial contains 5.8S ribosomal RNA, internal transcribed spacer 2, and large subunit ribosomal RNA
Rfam family: 5.8S ribosomal RNA (bases 1-120)
Source: RNAcentral
GAUGAAGAACGUAGCGAAAUGCGAUACGUAAUGUGAAUUGCAGAAUUCAGUGAAUCAUCGAGUCUUUGAACGCACAUGGCGCCUUCCAGUAUCCUGGGAGGCAUGCCUGUCCGAGCGUCGUUUCAACCCUCGAGCCCCCGUGGCCCGGCGUUGGGGAUCUGCCACGGCAGGCCCCUAAAACCAGUGGCGGACCCGAAGGCCCUCUCCUUUGCGCAGUAGCAUCAGCCUCGCAUUGGGAUCCCUCGGCGUCCUGCCUCUAAACCCCCCACAAGUCCGCUCCGGCGGCACCAAGGUUGACCUCGGAUCAGGUAGGAAUACCCGCUGAACUUAAGCAUAUCAAUAAGCGGAGGA